Molecule: unclassified non-coding RNA, 400 nt
Filed under: soil metagenome
Description: partial contains 5.8S ribosomal RNA, internal transcribed spacer 2, and large subunit ribosomal RNA
Rfam family: 5.8S ribosomal RNA (bases 1-122)
Source: RNAcentral
GAUGAAGAACGUAGCGAAAUGCGAUACUUGGUGUGAAUUGCAGAAUCUCGUGAACCAUCGAGUCUUUGAACGCAAGUUGCGCCUCAAGCCAUUAGGUUGAGGGCACGUCUGCCUGGGCGUCACAUAUCGUUGCCUGAUGCCAGUUUCCUCGUGAUGGGUGACUGUGCAGGGCGAAUGAUGGCUUCCCGUGAGCAUUGUUGCCUCAUGGUUGGUUGAAAAUUGAGUCCUUGGUAGGGAGCGCCGUGAUAGAUGGUGGUUGAGUGACGAACGAGACCCAAUCAUGUGAGACCCCUACCGAAUUUGGCCUUCAUGACCCACAUGCGUCUUUGGAACGCUCAUGACGAGACCUCAGGUCAGGCGGGGCUACCCGCUGAGUUUAAGCAUAUCAAUAAGCGGAGGA